This 320-nucleotide small nuclear RNA is filed under the name Meriones unguiculatus (Mongolian gerbil). Its description in RNAcentral is "7SK RNA (ENSMUGG00000019904.1)". The stretch from base 1 to 280 matches the Rfam family "7SK RNA". From Rfam's summary of the family: 7SK was discovered as an abundant small nuclear RNA in the mid-70s but a possible function has only recently been suggested. Lineage: Eukaryota; Metazoa; Chordata; Mammalia; Rodentia; Muridae. The record is from RNAcentral.
GGAGGUCGGGGUGAUCUGACGGUGACAUCUGUCACCUCCAUCGACCUCCAGGGCUGAUUAAGUUGAUCUGGCUCCUCACCAGAUGCCUCCUUCCUCCCUCACUACUCCAUCCAUGAGUGUCCUUCCGAAAGCUGUGUGCUUAGCUAGAGAGGAAGAUGUUCACUGAUUGACACUUGGGUCAAAAGUGUAUGACUAGCUGUGCUCCCCAGCUAGAACCUCCAAGCAAGGCGCCAGGAGGUUCAGGGCGCUCCGCAGAGUUCUUUAUUUCUUGCUUGCUUGCAGAGGUCUCAGAGUGUCUAAAGCCAUGACUGAGAUCCUCU